RNAcentral lists this ribosomal RNA (497 nucleotides) under uncultured bacterium. RNAcentral's name for it is "partial 16S ribosomal RNA". It matches the Rfam family "Bacterial small subunit ribosomal RNA", at positions 28 to 507 of the family's 1533-position model. The record is from RNAcentral.
GAUGAGCGCUGGCGGCGUGCCUAAUACAUGCAAGUCGAGCGAACAGACGAGGAGCUUGCUCCUCUGACGUUAGCGGCGGACGGGUGAGUAACACGUGGAUAACCUACCUAUAAGACUGGGAUAACUUCGGGAAACCGGAGCUAAUACCGGAUAAUAUAUUGAACCGCAUUGUUCAAUAGUGAAAGACGGUUUUGCUGUCACUUAUAGAUGGAUCCGCGCCGCAUUAGCUAGUUGGUAAGGUAACGGCUUACCAAGGCAACGAUGCGUAGCCGACCUGAGAGGGUGAUCGGCCACACUGGAACUGAGACACGGUCCAGACUCCUACGGGAGGCAGCAGUAGGGAAUCUUCCGCAAUGGGCGAAAGCCUGACGGAGCAACGCCGCGUGAGUGAUGAAGGUCUUCGGAUCGUAAAACUCUGUUAUUAGGGAAGAACAAAUGUGUAAGUAACUAUGCACGUCUUGACGGUACCUAAUCAGAAAGCCACGGCUAACUACGUG